Molecule: non-coding RNA, 192 nt
Filed under: Prochlorothrix hollandica
Lineage: Bacteria; Bacillati; Cyanobacteriota; Cyanophyceae; Prochlorotrichales; Prochlorotrichaceae
Also listed under: 1 other name
Source: RNAcentral
CCUGCGCGCCUUGCUUCAGGUGCCCCGAGUUGCCGUGAAUGGCGGCCAAGGGGUGAAACAGGGAAGCCGGUUCCAAUGCCGGCGCUGCCCCCGCAACGGUAGGUGAGUCAAACGUCGCUCAAGCAGACCGUGUGAAAACGUAGCGAGCGAAGGUCAGGCAAGGCCGAUGGCGGCCUCGCAAAAACAGGCGAA